RNAcentral lists this ribosomal RNA (474 nucleotides) under uncultured crenarchaeote. RNAcentral's name for it is "partial 16S ribosomal RNA". It matches the Rfam family "Archaeal small subunit ribosomal RNA", at positions 32 to 484 of the family's 1478-position model. The record is from RNAcentral. Lineage: Archaea; Thermoproteati; Thermoproteota.
AUCGGGGUAGGNUANNGCCAUGCGAGUCGCGCGCCCGGGGGCGCCCGGGAGCGGCGCACGGCUCAGUAACANGUGCCCAACCUACCCUCGGGAGGGGGACACCCCCGGGAAACUGGGGCCAAUCCCCCAUAGGGGAAGGGCGCUGGAAGGCCCCUUCCCCCAAAGGGGCGGCGGCCGAUCCGCCGCCGCCCGCCCGAGGAUGGGGGCACGGCCCAUCAGGUAGUUGGCGGGUUAAAGGCCCGCCAAGCCNAAGACGGGUAGGGGCGGUGAGAGCCGNGAGCCCCGAGAUCGGCACUGANACAAGGGCCGAGGCCCUACGGGGKGCAGCAGGCGCGAAUACUCCGCAAUGCGGGMAACCGCGACGGGGYUACCCCGAGUGCCGGGCGAAGAGCCCGGUUUUUGCCCGGUCUAAAAAGCCGGGNGAAUAAGCGGGGGGCAAGUCUGGUGUCAGCCGCCGCGGUAAWACCAGCAACA